Molecule: ribosomal RNA, 429 nt
Filed under: Verrucomicrobiota bacterium
Lineage: Bacteria; Pseudomonadati; Verrucomicrobiota
Description: Verrucomicrobia bacterium partial 16S ribosomal RNA
Rfam family: Bacterial small subunit ribosomal RNA
Source: RNAcentral
UAGGGAAUCUUCCGCAAUGGACGAAAGUCUGACGGAGCAACGCCGCGUGAGUGAAGAAGGAUUUCGGUUCGUAAAACUCUGUUGUUAGGGAAGAAAAAAUGUAUAGUAACUAUAUACAAAGGAGACGGUACCUAACCAGAAAGCCACGGCUAACUACGUGCCAGCAGCCGCGGUAAUACGUAGGUGGCAAGCGUUGUCCGGAAUUAUUGGGCGUAAAGCGCGCGCAGGUGGUUUAGAAAGUCUGAUGUGAAAGCCCACGGCUCAACCGUGGAGGGUCAUUGGAAACUAAUAAACUUGAGUGCAGGAGAGAAAAGUGGAAUUCCUAGUGUAGCGGUGAAAUGCGUAGAGAGUAGGAGGAACACCGGUGGCGAAAGCGGCUUUUUGGCCUGCAACUGACACUGAGGCGCGAAAGCGUGGGGAGCAAACAGG